RNAcentral lists this ribosomal RNA (253 nucleotides) under uncultured bacterium. RNAcentral describes it as "partial 16S ribosomal RNA". It matches the Rfam family "Bacterial small subunit ribosomal RNA", at positions 524 to 776 of the family's 1533-position model. The record is from RNAcentral.
UACGUAGGUGGCAAGCGUUGUCCGGAUUUAUUGGGCGUAAAGAGCUCGUAGGUGGUCCUCUAAGUUUGGUGUGAAAUCUCCCGGCUCAACUGGGAGGGUGCGCCGAAAACUGGGGGACUAGAGUGUGGGAGAGGAAAGCGGAAUUCCUGGUGUAGCGGUGAAAUGCGUAGAUAUCAGGAGGAACACCUGCGGUGUAGACGGCUUUCUGGACCACUACUGACACUGAGGCACGAAAGCGUGGGGAGCAAACAGG